This 1040-nucleotide long non-coding RNA is filed under the name Mustela putorius furo (domestic ferret). RNAcentral's name for it is "lncRNA (ENSMPUG00000030652.1)". The record is from RNAcentral. Lineage: Eukaryota; Metazoa; Chordata; Mammalia; Carnivora; Mustelidae.
UUGCCUUCAAGUGUCCACUGGCUCCUCUCAGUCACAGCUGUACAAAUCACAGGACUCUCACCAGCAUGAGACAUAUAUAUUAUUCAUCUAUCUAGUUUCAUCUAAAGGAAAUCCAAUAAAGACAAAAUUUUACUUUCCAGUGAAAUAUCCAAAGCUGCUUUUUCCCCACAAGAAACUGGGCCGAAAACUCCAUCCAUGAUCUAUAAUACCACUUUCUUGGCAACAUGUCUCAUUCCCCACUAUAUCUUCAUGCACAGCACUUAGUAAAAUCUCCGUAAAUAACUGUGGAAUGAAUGAAUGAAUCUACGUGGAAAUCUAUGGAUCCUUAAGUAUGAAGCAUGCUGUUCUAGUAAGAUGGAACACUCUGACUUGGAAACAUAAUUCCAUGCAGUUGAGUUGUCCUAACCUGGAUGUUUCACUGAGCAUUUCUGAGCAGUUACAUGAGGAAGUGGCUGUUUCCCCCGGCAGCUGGGCUCUGAAUCUCCAUCACUGGAGAAGCAAUUUCCAGUGCUACAAACAUCUGGAGAGCUGGCUGAUUACAACACACACACACACACAACCUUGAACUUCCAUUUGGUAAGAGAGUUUAAAGAACAUACCUCAGACUGUGCAUUAAACACUAGUGUUAAUCAUUGCCAGAAAGCCAAGGGUGGAAUGCACGUAAAUUGAACUUAAACCCAAACUUACUUUGCAGUACCUUGGACUCUAGGUCUUGCAAACAAUAAGCCCACGAACCCGGCACCCAGCACACAUGUGAGUGUCAGGAAUUUUCCAGUUCCAUUAUAAUUCUAAUAAUUUACCUUACUGUGCUACCGAGGUAUGACACUUCUGUUUCCUUAUCUACAAUAAAUGAAUUUGUCCACCUAUGUUUGGGUCGUGGUGAAAUCCAGUGUACUAUGCCUAGUGCCGUAUCAUCUCUGGGAGGAAGAGCUCACCAACUCAAUAUCUUUUUAAAUUGUACGCAAAAAUGAGAAAGUAAAAACAAGUUCUGCCUACCACAAGACUUUUAUAGCAUUAAAGAUACCUAUUUGACUAUACUC